RNAcentral lists this ribosomal RNA (567 nucleotides) under uncultured eukaryote. RNAcentral's name for it is "SSU rRNA". It matches the Rfam family "Eukaryotic small subunit ribosomal RNA", at positions 4 to 565 of the family's 1831-position model. The record is from RNAcentral.
CUGGUUGAUCCUGCCUGAACUGAUGUGUUUAUUUCAAAGAUUAAGCCAUGCAUGUAUAAGUAGAAACGAUUUCGAUCGUGAAACCGCGAACGGCUCAUUACAACAGCUGUAAUUUACUUGAUCUUGACGCAUCCUACAUGGAUAACUGUGGUAAUUCUAGAGCUAAUACAUGCACCAAAGCUCUGCCCCCUCGGGGAAGAGUGCAUUUAUUAGAGCAAAACCAGGCGGCCUUCGGGCCGUUCCUCGUUGACUCAGAAUAACUCAAGCUGAUCGCAUGGUCCAGUACCGGCGACGUGUCUUUCAAGUGUCUGCCUUAUCAACUUUCGAUGGUAGUGUAUCUGACUACCAUGGUUGUGACGGGUAACGGAGGAUAAGGGUUCGACUCCGGAGAAGGGGCCUGAGAAAUGGCCACUACGUCUAAGGAUGGCAGCAGGCGCGCAAAUUACCCACUCUCGGCAAGAGGAGGUAGUGACGAAAAAUAACGAGACCGUUCUCACAAGAGGCCGGUCAUCGGAAUGGGUACAAUCUAAACCCUUUAACGAGUAUCUAUGCGUGGGCAAGUCUGGU